This 253-nucleotide ribosomal RNA is filed under the name uncultured bacterium. Its description in RNAcentral is "partial 16S ribosomal RNA". It matches the Rfam family "Bacterial small subunit ribosomal RNA", at positions 524 to 776 of the family's 1533-position model. The record is from RNAcentral.
UACGAAGGGGACUAGCGUUGUUCGGAAUUACUGGGCGUAAAGCGCACGCAGGCGGUUCGCCAAGUUUGGAGUGACAGUUGUCGGCUCAACCGACAAAGGACUUCAAAAACUGGUGAACUUGAGGACGAGAGAGGAACAUGGAACUCCAGGUGUAGUAGUGAAAUGCGUAGAUAUCUGGAAGAACACCAAUGGCGAAGGCAAUGUUCUGGCUCGUUUCUGACGCUCAGGUGCGAAAGCCAGGGGAGCGAACGGG